Hylaeus anthracinus is the source of this 1462-nucleotide long non-coding RNA. RefSeq lists it as uncharacterized. The record is from RefSeq and is a predicted model, not a curated record. The transcript has 3 exons. Lineage: Eukaryota; Metazoa; Arthropoda; Insecta; Hymenoptera; Colletidae.
UUAAGAUUGGACCCCGAUGGUUGCAUGAAUUUAGGCCUGAAAGUCCUUACAACAAUGGAGGUAGUACUUCCACUGAGCGUACCUCCAAAACUUCCUACCCUCCAUGUCUCUAAUCUUGUUACUUAUUAAAUAACAAUAUUUCACUAGCUCCACCAUGCAACGAACGAGGUCCUAGCGCAACGACCGGGGCCCCUUCAAGACCCAGCAUAACUGACCAAAAAAAAGAGAUCUCACAGACUCACGUUGCACGCAACAUUCUUCGCUCAGAAUGACCUACCGAACACGUGGCGAAGUUUGUUGGGAACUUCAGCAGACACCCUGUAAGUUCUUGGCGCGCAAAUCACUGGCAACGGCAGAAAUGUACGCGAGGAGCAAACGAGACGCGCAGCAUCGGCAAACGGAGGCCAACGCGAGCGGGGAAGAAAGAAGGAGGACUGGUAGAAGAGGAGAGGACGUCGAAGGACAGGCCCAUUGAAACAGAGAGCAAUUUACGAGGCAUCCGAGAGAGACGACGCGAUGCCACGCGUCCGAAGAGGAGAAUGCAAGGAGCGUGGGAGAGAGAGACGAGAGAGAAAAAGUUUUUCGUAUGUACCCUUGGGCAAUGUGUACGUUUAUAUCCCGAACGAAAGAACAUUACUCGCGCAACCGCGCAUGCGUGUCCGUUGUCCCACCUCCUCCGCCUCCACUUCUUUCUUCGGUGUCUCCUUCGACCGCUGUUUAACUCUUUUCUCCCUCUCACCCUCCAUUUUUGUUCUUCUUUUUCGUCGCGCUUUUGUCACGCGUCUGGGUGUCAGUCUGUUGUGCGGUUCCACGAAACGAUCGUGCCCCGUUUCUUCUUUUUCUUUUCUUUUUCGGUCGAACGAGUCGCGCUGCAGUUUAGCCCGGCGUUCCUUUUUUUUCCGUCGCCCAGGCAGCGAGUUAAUUGAAAGGAGCGGAAAGGUUACUUAGGCGGGUUUUGUCCUUCGAGCACACUUCCGCUUGGAAUUCCAGCUUGGAAUUCCUCGUAUCGGAAGUCAUCCAUUUUUAACGGAGGCAUCCUUGGUCAGCCUUGAGAAUUGCGGAAAGAAGGUUGCGAUUUAGGACGCUCGGACAGCUUCGACAGCGGACUAAAAUAUGCUACGCGCGACAGACACCAUUGGAAUUGCGACCGUAGGGCGUAGCCAUGUUCGUUAAAUUCCACGGGAACGUUAACGAGCGAUCGACUCUUUUCGGAGCGGUAUCGCCGCAAGGAGGACUAAAGGAAGGACUAAGUACCGAGCGACAGUUGAGGUUCUUCCAUCUUCUUCUAGGUCUAAAGUGAGGCUUCUGGUCGUCAGUAUUCCGGAAUCCUGACCCGGGACGGUUCUCAGACCUAAGCCUACUUAAAACACUAAGACCCUUAAUUAUGGUUUACUGUUCGACAAGUAUAUAUCAUUAGAUAGUCCUAAAACACUCGUAACCAAAAGACUAUCACUACUAUAAA